GCGGCCGCGCCGGAGACUUCAAACGCGGGGAGCGCGGCCCAGCACCCGCGGCGAGUUCGCGGCGCCGCCUCCCUCCUGCUCACCCGCUCGCCGCCCGGAGCGCUCAGGCCGUGGCUCGCACGCCCGGAGGGGCGCGGUGGCUGGCGCCCGCAGACACACGUGCGCCCAGCGCGGCGGGGACCGUCGUCCUUCAUUGGGGGUAGCGACCCAGAGGCUCGGGAAAGGCAAUAAUUCAGGGGUCCAACGUGCGCUUAACCUGAGCUGUGCUCUGUGUCAAGAAGACUCUCUUCUG
Molecule: long non-coding RNA, 292 nt
Filed under: Rattus norvegicus (Norway rat)
Lineage: Eukaryota; Metazoa; Chordata; Mammalia; Rodentia; Muridae
Description: long non-coding RNA NONRATT026243
Source: RNAcentral